Molecule: long non-coding RNA, 1121 nt
Filed under: Phoenix dactylifera (date palm)
Lineage: Eukaryota; Viridiplantae; Streptophyta; Magnoliopsida; Arecales; Arecaceae
Description: long non-coding RNA (PDAC_LNC015835)
Source: RNAcentral
AGAUGGAGGGAUGCAUCAUAAAGGGAUGCAUCCCAUCCACACACCUUAUCAUGAUGAGGCAUGUGCCAAGAGAGGCAUCCCAUCAUGAUGAGGUGUUAAGGAGAAGGGUGUAUCAACUUCUUUCUCACAUCUCUCUCUUAAAUCCUGAUAAUCUAAGGGCCCAAAUGCAGUGAACCAAAGCCAAUGGUCCAGAUCUAGGUGCCAUCUAAUGGUCCAGAUCAAGGCAUCAUCAUCCAGGGUGCCAUCCAAUGGUCCAGAAGCAAGAUGCCAUCACCGAUGGUCCAGAUUAUGGCGCUGAGCAACGGUCUAGAUCUUUCAUCCAGAGAGCCAUCCAGUGGUCCAGAUUCAGGCGCUGACCAAUGGUCCAGAUCCUUCAUCCAGGAAUCCAUCCAAUGGUCCAGAUGAAGGCGCCAACCAGUAGACCAGAUCCUUCAUCCAGGAAGCCAUUCAAUGGUCCAGAUGAAGGCACCAACCAGUGGACCAGAUCCUUCAUCCAGGAAGCGAUCCAAUGGUCUAGAAGUGAAGGCCCUAUCAAACCCAAUCCAAUUGGGUUUAACCAACUUAAAGAAAACAUUAAACCUAAUCAAAUCAGGUCUAAUUAAAGCCAAAUGGGUUCCAACUCUUGGCUAACCCAUAUUAGGUCAUGAUCUAAUCAUAUUAGAUCAACCUAAUCUAAGAAUCAGAUUCGAAUUUAAUUUGAAUCAGGAGCUAGGGUUUGCAACACGUGCUAGCAUGUUCAUCUUGCAAACAUGAUCUAAUCCAAUUAGACCCUUGAUCAAUAUCCUUGUGUGUGACCCAUUGAGUUCCUUAUCUUAGCCAGCAGUAGGUGCAGGUGCAAGUUGACCUAACCUGAUUAGAAUACCUCUAAUCCAAUUUAGGUUCAAUUUAGUGCUAAACCUGACUUAGCAAUCAGAACCUUUCUGAUGCUUUGAUCUAAUCGAACUCUUUGAUCCGAUCAACCCACAAGACAUGAUUGACGUCUAGCAACGUAUCAUGUCUACCCGGAAGAUGAGGAACGUAUUGGACAAAUCCAAACAUACCCUUCAGUGGCAAGUUACCGUGCAAUUCAAUUCCUCAGUCAUACUACAUCCUGAAUAAGUGCAUGAGUAUGGAUCAAUAUC